CAUGCCAUUGGAACACCAUGCCGUACAGAAAUACAACCAUGCACACAUGUCCGUUCCAUAUAAAGUCCGUCUGCCGGCACACAAAUAAACCACUUGUUCUCCUUGAAAAUGCAACGGUCCAUUAGAAGCUUCUUUCAUGUGAGAGUAGCGGGUACUGCAGCAGCAGGAGAGAUCAAUGGAGUUGUGGCUUGCAAGAAGACGCCGAUCGGUACCGGACAACUCGGUAUUUCAUCGUGGAGGCAAAGGCGGUGCUACGUCCCUCUGCGGACACAGACACGGACAUCUUGCCCUGCCACAGACCCUGCGAGCAAUCAGGAACGACUUGCAGAUGAUGAUGAUGAUAGGAAGGAGAAGGAUCGCCUCAGGAAAAGUUGCCAACAGUUUCAGCCUUCCAUUUGGGGAGAUUUUUUCCUUUACUACGACUCCAAUCCGCUGGCUUCCUCCGCUGAGCAGACAAGGAUAGUAGAACGAGCAAACAAACUGAAGGAAGUGGUGGCAAAAAUGAUAGUAGCAAGUUCAAGUACCCAUAACCAGAUUGAGAUGUUACAUGAUUUAGAUGCAAUGUUGGUAGUUUUGUACUUUUGGGACUCUGGUUGUAAGCAUGACCUAUUCAUUACGGUUGGGUAAAAUAUAAAUUUGGGGUUUAUGGUUCAUUUGGCUAUGGGGUUUCAUGAGCUUCAUCUGUUGCUACAUCUGAUAGAAGUAUUUUUUGGGUAUCUCUCCUAUCAGGCCUGAUAUUGUCCGAUGUGAAAUGUACUUUCCUGACAGGCACUUGAUCCAGGUUGACUGUGGGAAGUUGCAGGAGCUUGCGAUUUUGCUGAGACGUUUGAUGUCAGAAGGACACAGGGCCUUGAUAUUUACUCAGAUGUGUUUGGUGGGGUACAUUAAUUUGUAUGGGUACACAUAUUUGCCGUUAGAUGGUUCUACCCAGCCAGAAGAGAGGCAGACACUAAUGCAGAUGUUUAUUACAAACCCUAA
Brachypodium distachyon (stiff brome) is the source of this 978-nucleotide long non-coding RNA. RefSeq lists it as uncharacterized. The transcript is spliced from 2 exons. Lineage: Eukaryota; Viridiplantae; Streptophyta; Magnoliopsida; Poales; Poaceae. The record is from RefSeq and is a predicted model, not a curated record.